AGAGUUUGAUCAUGGCUCAGAAUCAACGCUGGCGGCGCGCUUAACACAUGCAAGUCGAACGAGAAAGUGGAGCAAUCCAUGAGUAAAGUGGCGUACGGGUGAGUAACACGUGGGGAUCUACCCUUUGGUGGGGAAUAACCUGGGGAAACCUGGGCUAAUACCGCAUAAGUCCGCAAGGAGAAAGUCGCAAGACGCCGAUGGAGGAACCCGCGGCCGAUUAGCUAGUUGGUGAGGUAAAAGCUCACCAAGGCAACGAUCGGUAGCCGGCCUGAGAGGGCACACGGCCACACUGGCACUGAAACACGGGCCAGACUCCUACGGGAGGCAGCAGUGGGGAAUCUUGCACAAUGGGGGCAACCCUGAUGCAGCGACGCCGCGUGAGUGAUGAAGCCCUUCGGGGUGUAAAGCUCUUUCGACGGGGACGAUUAUGACGGUACCCGGAGAAGAAGCUGCGGCUAACUACGUGCCAGCAGCCGCGGUAAUACGUAGGCAGCGAGCGUUGUUCGGAAUUACUGGGCGUAAAGAGUGCGUAGGCGGUUCGGCCAGUCUGGUGUGAAAUCUCCCGGCUUAACUGGGAGGGUGCGCUAGAAACUGCCGGGCUAGAGUGUGGGAGAGGAAAGUGGAAUUCCUGGUGUAGCGGUGAAAUGCGUAGAUAUCAGGAGGAACACCUGCGGUGUAGACGGCUUUCUGGACCACUACUGACGCUGAGGCACGAAAGCGUGGGGAGCAAACAGGAUUAGAUACCCUGGUAGUCCACGCCCUAAACGAUGCGGACUUGGUGUGCGCCCUUCAUUGGGUGCGUGCCGGAGCUAACGCGUUAAGUCCGCCGCCUGGGGAGUACGGUCGCAAGGCUGAACUCAAAGGAAUUG
RNAcentral lists this ribosomal RNA (869 nucleotides) under uncultured bacterium. RNAcentral describes it as "bacterial SSU rRNA". It matches the Rfam family "Bacterial small subunit ribosomal RNA", at positions 8 to 912 of the family's 1533-position model. The record is from RNAcentral.